Molecule: ribosomal RNA, 248 nt
Filed under: uncultured bacterium
Lineage: Bacteria
Description: partial 16S ribosomal RNA
Rfam family: Bacterial small subunit ribosomal RNA
Source: RNAcentral
GACGAACGCUGGCGGCGUGCUUAACACAUGCAAGUCGAGCGGUAAGGCCCUUUCGGGGGUACACGAGCGGCGAACGGGUGAGUAACACGUGGGUGACCUGCCCUUAGCUCUGGGAUAGCCUGGGAACUAGGUCUAAUACCGGAUAUGACUCCAUAACGCAUGUUGUGGGGUGGAAAGCCUUGUGCGGCUAGGGAUGGGCCCGCGGCCUAUCAGCUUGUUGGUGGGGUGAUGGCCACCAAGGCGACGAC